GGUGGUUCUUGGGUGACGCACCCCGGAAUUCGACUCCCUCCUCUCUGGUUCCCGAUGCAUCACCCAAGAACCGCA
This is a non-coding RNA of Myotis brandtii (Brandt's bat), 75 nucleotides long. The record is from Rfam. NCBI's taxonomy places the organism in Eukaryota, Metazoa, Chordata, Mammalia, Chiroptera, Vespertilionidae.